This 253-nucleotide ribosomal RNA is filed under the name uncultured bacterium. RNAcentral describes it as "partial 16S ribosomal RNA". It matches the Rfam family "Bacterial small subunit ribosomal RNA", at positions 524 to 774 of the family's 1533-position model. The record is from RNAcentral.
UACGAAGGGGGCUAGCGUUGCUCGGAAUCACUGGGCGUAAAGGGUGCGUAGGCGGGUCUUUAAGUCAGGGGUGAAAUCCUGGAGCUCAACUCCAGAACUGCCUUUGAUACUGAGGAUCUUGAGUUCGGGAGAGGUGAGUGGAACUGCGAGUGUAGAGGUGAAAUUCGUAGAUAUUCGCAAGAACACCAGUGGCGAAGGCGGCUCACUGGCCCGAUACUGACGCUGAGGCACGAAAAGCGUGGGGGAGCAAACA